RNAcentral lists this ribosomal RNA (251 nucleotides) under uncultured bacterium. RNAcentral describes it as "partial 16S ribosomal RNA". It matches the Rfam family "Bacterial small subunit ribosomal RNA", at positions 57 to 305 of the family's 1533-position model. The record is from RNAcentral.
GCAAGUCGAACGGAAACGAUAGUAGCUUGCUCUGGCUGACGAGUGGCGGACGGGUGCGUAACGCGUGGGAAUCUACCUUAUAGUGGGGGAUAGCCCGGAGAAAUCCGGAUUAAUACCGCAUAAGCCCUACGGGGGAAAAGGGGCCUCUCCUUGGAAGCUCUUGCUAUUAGAUGAGCCCGCGUAAGAUUAGCUUGUUGGUAGGGUAAUGGCCUACCAAGGCAACGAUCUUUAGCUGGUCUGAGAGGAUGAUC